UCGAGCGCUGAUUACAGGGUAGCAAUAUUCUGUGGUCGGAGCGGCGCAAGGGUGCGUAACACGUGGGUAAUCUGCCAUGAAGUUUGGAAUAACUUGCUGAAAGGCGAGCUAAUACCGGAUGUGACAAUUUUGAGGCAUCUUGAGAUUGUCAAAGCUGGGGACCGUAAGGCCUGGCGCUUCAUGAUGAGCCCGCGGCCUAUCAGCUAGUUGGUGAGGUAACGGCUCACCAAGGCUAAGACGGGUAGCUGGUCUGAGAGGACGACCAGCCACACUGGAACUGAGACACGGUCCAGACACCUACGGGUGGCAGCAGUCGAGAAUUUUUCACAAUGGGCGCAAGCCUGAUGGAGCGACGCCGCGUGGGGGAUGAAUGGCUUCGGCCCGUAAACCCCUGUCAUUUGCGAACAAAUUGGUUCAAUUAACACCUGAACCAUUGAUAGUAGCGAAAGAGGAAGGGACGGCUAACUCUGUGCCAGCAGCCGCGGUAAUACAGAGGUCCCAAGCGUUGUUCGGAUUCACUGGGCGUAAAGGGUGCGUAGGUGGUUAGGUAAGUCGGAUGUGAAAUCUCCGAGCUCAACUCGGAAACUGCAUUGGAAACUACCUGGCUAGAGGGU
Molecule: ribosomal RNA, 614 nt
Filed under: uncultured Verrucomicrobiota bacterium
Lineage: Bacteria; Pseudomonadati; Verrucomicrobiota
Description: bacterial SSU rRNA
Rfam family: Bacterial small subunit ribosomal RNA
Source: RNAcentral